RNAcentral lists this ribosomal RNA (1061 nucleotides) under Vibrio harveyi. Its description in RNAcentral is "bacterial SSU rRNA". It matches the Rfam family "Bacterial small subunit ribosomal RNA", at positions 130 to 1185 of the family's 1533-position model. The record is from RNAcentral. Lineage: Bacteria; Pseudomonadati; Pseudomonadota; Gammaproteobacteria; Vibrionales; Vibrionaceae.
CCUGAAGUGGGGGAUAACCAUUGGAAACGAUGGCUAAUACCGCAUAAUGCCUACGGGCCAAAGAGGGGGACCUUCGGGCCUCUCGCGUCAGGAUAUGCCUAGGUGGGAUUAGCUAGUUGGUGAGGUAAUGGCUCACCAAGGCGACGAUCCCUAGCUGGUCUGAGAGGAUGAUCAGCCACACUGGAACUGAGACACGGUCCAGACUCCUACGGGAGGCAGCAGUGGGGAAUAUUGCACAAUGGGCGCAAGCCUGAUGCAGCCAUGCCGCGUGUGUGAAGAAGGCCUUCGGGUUGUAAAGCACUUUCAGUCGUGAGGAAGGUGGUGUAGUUAAUAGCACUAUCAUUUGACGUUAGCGACAGAAGAAGCACCGGCUAACUCCGUGCCAGCAGCCGCGGUAAUACGGAGGGUGCGAGCGUUAAUCGGAAUUACUGGGCGUAAAGCGCAUGCAGGUGGUUUGUUAAGUCAGAUGUGAAAGCCCGGGGCUCAACCUCGGAAUUGCAUUUGAAACUGGCAGACUAGAGUACUGUAGAGGGGGGGUAGAAUUUCAGGUGUAGCGGUGAAAUGCGUAGAGAUCUGAAGGAAUACCGGUGGCGAAGGCGGCCCCCUGGACAGAUACUGACACUCAGAUGCGAAAGCGUGGGGAGCAAACAGGAUUAGAUACCCUGGUAGUCCACGCCGUAAACGAUGUCUACUUGGAGGUUGUGGCCUUGAGCCGUGGCUUUCGGAGCUAACGCGUUAAGUAGACCGCCUGGGGAGUACGGUCGCAAGAUUAAAACUCAAAUGAAUUGACGGGGGCCCGCACAAGCGGUGGAGCAUGUGGUUUAAUUCGAUGCAACGCGAAGAACCUUACCUACUCUUGACAUCCAGAGAACUUUCCAGAGAUGGAUUGGUGCCUUCGGGAACUCUGAGACAGGUGCUGCAUGGCUGUCGUCAGCUCGUGUUGUGAAAUGUUGGGUUAAGUCCCGCAACGAGCGCAACCCUUAUCCUUGUUUGCCAGCGAGUAAUGUCGGGAACUCCAGGGAGACUGCCGGUGAUAAACCGGAGGAAGGUGGGGACGACGU